Long non-coding RNA from Mus musculus (house mouse), 3998 nucleotides. RefSeq annotates it as predicted gene, 38991. Lineage: Eukaryota; Metazoa; Chordata; Mammalia; Rodentia; Muridae. The transcript is spliced from 6 exons. The record is from RefSeq and is a predicted model, not a curated record.
UUGUAUUUUGUGGAUAGAGCCGCUUACAUCUGUGUCCUGAUAGAGAGAGGAAGAUUCCUGCAGUAUGAUUUCUGCAGGACAGAUACCCAGAGAUGCCCUGGACAGAUGUCCCUCUGAGCCCAGUGCCAUUUCAUCAGCCUUUGCACGGAGGGACAAUACCAAGCACGGGCGAGCAUGCAACUACAUCUUACAACACCCAGCUCCUAUCAUCAGACUACUUCCUGAGCAGAAGCAAAUUGACAACAGACAUGGACAACACUUUGCUGAAGCCCCAAUUCUACAUGUCCCUGGAAGAAAGGAAGGAUCAAGACAUAGAGGAUGUUGAUGGGGUCCCAUCACCUCUCCACCUUCGUCGAGCAAUGGUGGAUUAUCCUUGGAAAUUAAAAUGGCUCUAUAACAUCACUUUUGAUAGAGAACAAAAUUUUAAGAGCUGAUGAUGGACAGAGUCUCACAACACCACAGACCUCUCCAUGGAAGAUUAAACACAAAGAGAAGUUGGGGGCAUGGGAAGACUAUGGGAGGAAGGACACAGAACAAAGAAGCUGUGUCAGCAGACAAAGUGAUUUAUGUGUGCAUAACUUCAGCAGUGGAAUGUCAUCUCGGAGGUCUUUAAUUGGCAGACUUUGGGGACCACAGAGGGAGAUGACAGAGUGUGCUCUGAAGAAAUAAGAGUGUCGGCUGCCAUUCCCAGUGCGGCCCCACAGAGGAGGUCUCAUAAAUCUCGGGAGUAGUGGGGGGAUAGCAGUCAACUUUUAAACUUUUUAUUAACCUGAUAUCUGCUAAUGAAACACGAAGAGGAUCAUCUUCAACCUUAGCCGAUUCGGAUCUCACGACACGUCAAAUGACUGCCUACGGUUUUUGAGACAAUCAAAUGCAGAUCUUCUGGUAACUUCUACUCAAAGACACCAACGCUGCGAUUUGCAGUCUUUAUGACUUCAAUGAGUCACCCAGUCCUGUCUUGCUAUGUGGAAUAUGAUUGUAUGUUUUUAAGAAUGUCAACAGAUGUGUUUUCUGUUCAUGAACCUCAUCUCGGGCCUUGGAUAAAGGGGCCAUUUUGAAAUGGAAUCACAGCUGCUUUUGGCCUCAGGAUGCGGCUCAGAGAAGUCUAUCCAUGCAAGGUGUGACUGGCCUUUUAGGAGGCAGGGUGAGGUUCUGGAAGGAAUGGAGAGUGACCUCUGUGACAAGAUGACUCCGGUAUCUGUGUCACUUGUAGGAAAGUUGAAGUCUUUCUGAAUGAUGGAUGUCUCUGCGAACAUCUGUGCUAACAGUGUCCAAGAGGUCAAGUGCCAGGCCUUAAACUCUAGCACCUGUGCUAGAGCCAACCCCAAACUGUGGGCCAACCUAUUUCGUGGGCCAUUGGGCUUUUGAGAAAAGACUGACAAUUUACAUCUUUGCAUUUAUUUUCAAAAUUGCAAUGUCUUUAGGCAAGGGCUCCCCAGAAGCAAACCCCAUUGCAGUAGCAGAGUGUAGAGUUAUUUCCUGGAGUUAUGAUCCAGGAGCCAUCAACUCUCACCAGCUCCCAAGCUGGGAGUGGAGGAUCCUGAGCCCAUUCUGAUUCACGCUAGAAUAUUGGCUGGCUUGGUCAUGACCUCAUGUGGGUCUUUCGAAGGCAAUCACGGGCUCUGUGAGUUCAGGGGUGUAGCAGUCCACUCUGUUUUGCAGUGUCCUCCCAGACCUCUGGCUUUCUACCAUCUUUUCAUCUUCUCUUCUGCAAUGAUUCCUGUGUGAGCACAAUAUAUGCCCCCCGCCAUGUGUGUGUGAUAUAGAUGUCCCAUUUGAGGCUGAAUAUUCCGUAGACAUGUAUUGAGAGUGUAUUUUACAUUGGUCCUAUUUUACUAGAGAGCCCAAAGCCUGACUAAGCCAGGCAGUCAUUAGGAUCUAGUUUUCAUCUAGCUUGGGAAGAGAAAGAAAUUGAUGGACAGCUCUUUCUUGGACAGCUGAGGACUCUUGGGGGCAGGGUAGACCAGGGCGAAUCAUUCUACCCGAGGAAUGCAUUGCUUUUGUACUUACCCACCAACCCCCAUGUGCCACUGUUGGAGUCUGCUCUGGGCUAUAAACUCUCUGGUGCAUGCUUGCAGGACAGCUCUUUUGCUACAUGCACUAGAAUGUGAGCAACAGAGAGAUACCCGAGACUCCAAGGCAUGCAUGCUGUGAAGGAUGCAAUUCAUUGCUUGAGGUCUUGAGUGAUCCUUUUGCAAAGCAACCGACAAAAUUUGGAGGUAGGUACACUUUAAAGUUUUGUUUAUAGUCUGUCCAAGGACAAAGAAAUGGAUGGACCUGGCCAUCACCAAAAGCCAAUUGGACUGAAGCCUAGGAGAUCCUGUCAUUAGAGAAGUGCCAGCAUGGUAGAGGACUUUUUAAACAUACAGAUUCUGCAAGGCCCAUUGUCUCCUCUUAAGAGUCAUUUCAAUGAAGACCAACAGCCCCGUGCUGGGUGCUGGUGUGUCCCAGAAGACUAAGAUGGAAUCUUUGUCUUUGAGAAUCCAUAGUGUUUCUGGAAAAGAGCCACCCAUACCAUUAGCUAGAUUAUAAACAGUGUAGUCUGGCCGUGCGGAUGAGAGAAAGAAGUGGCACUGACUGCUGGGACACCCGGGGCCUUGGGCUCUAUUUAUCCAGCCAGAACAUUCUAAUGCAGGGCGCAUCCCUGCCUUCCUGAACAAAACCAAAAGCAGCGAGGAGUGCUUUCUUUUAAGAAGGGAAAAGUGGGUGGUGAUGGAAUCAGAGACGGAAACAAGCUGAACAUCUGGAAAGAAGGGCUCUCCGGAAGAACAGCCCCUCCCUCGAGAUCCCACCGGUCCACAGCAGCCUCAGAGUGUCAGAGGAUUAGGUCUGGAUUCUUGUAGUAAUUAAUAGCACUUAAGUUCCUGGGUAGUCAGUUUUGAUUAAGCAAACAUUAAAUUAAUCCAAUCUGCAAACGCAUGGCCGGGUGGAAGCAGCAGCUGGAUGGACAGAGGGAUGCGUCCUCAUUGGAUUGCGGGCCACCUCCGAGUAGUUACAGCUGGAUCAAUACGGCUCCUAGAGCUAUAAUAAAAUGCCUUCGACAUGCUCAUCUGUGGCUGAGAACAGUACACACAUUGAUUUCCUGGCCUGAUAUAACCCAUUUACCUAGUCAGCUACUCCAUUCAGGAAGGUGGAGGGGUCCCAAGACCCAAGGGACCAAUGAUGCCUGCAACGAUGGUAGCGGAUGCUUGGGAAAUGUCUUAAUCGGCAGCAUGACUCCUCCGUUAGGAAGACAUGUUUCUUUGUAAGGUAAAGGCCUCCUCGGAGUCCUGCUGGCUUCAUCUGGGGAAACACUGGAUAUUGAGGAGUGUGUGUGUGUGUGUGUGUGUGUGUGUGUGUGUGUGUGUGUGUGUUGCUGUUUCUGUAUGUCAGGAUCUGCCCUUCUCAUGAUUUAAAACGCCAAUGUUAUACAAUUGUCUUAGCUUCUUGGAGGGCAAAGGGGCAUGUGUUAAUACAAGCUCAUUCCAGGAGUGUCUUCUACUCCAAUUUGGGUGAACUGGAGGGAGGCACAGAGACUGCCCCAGAUCGCUCACAUCAGAAAGAUGCCCCUCUUCACUGAUUUUUCUGUGACAGUGUUGAAUGGAAAGGGAAUGGUUACUGUUUGAUACAAAUUAAUGAGAGUGUGGUGUAUCACAUGUGGUGUCAAAUGACAAGGCCAACACAUGAAAACCAGUCAAUGAGAUCUGCCUCUCUCCACUGAAAUAGUUGUCAUCUCUACAGACUUUCUGAAACGAAGCUAUUAUUACUGUCCAAAGCCUUUUAGACCGAUCCCUUGGGCUCUGCCAUUAAGAAACUGCUUGCUGGGAAUGGAGAGAGGACUCACGUGUUAAGAGCAGGUAUGACUUUAGCAGGACACCUGAGUUCGGUUCCUAGCACCCAUGUCAGACACUUAAUAAUUGCCUGUAUAUUCAGCUCCAGGGGAUCCAACACCCUUUUGCAAACUCCGCAGUCACUUCAGUGACUUACAUGGACACAUACACACACACACACACACACAC